RNAcentral lists this long non-coding RNA (484 nucleotides) under Homo sapiens (human). Its description in RNAcentral is "HSALNT0134589". Lineage: Eukaryota; Metazoa; Chordata; Mammalia; Primates; Hominidae. The record is from RNAcentral.
GAUUUUUCACCUCACCAGGGCGCGAGAAUCUUGGAAACAGCCACCAGGGUGGGCGGGGCAAGGGCUGGUGCUCCACCAAUCACCGAGCCAGCCCCUGGAAGCGCUGAGCCGUGGCCAAUCGGAACGCAGCGGCUUCCUCCUAGCCUGGCGCGCGAUUAUUUGAAGACGCUCACGGAGCGGCUGGCUAGGCUGAGGAGAGCUCGCCGGGCUCUGAGGCGCAGAAUUCAAUAAAGAAAAUGGCAGCUCUUACUCCAAGGAAGAGGAAGCAGGAUUCUUUGAAGUGUGACAGCUUUUACACUUCACUGAAAAUCUGUUUCCAUCACCUAAUAAAAAGCACUGUUUUUAUCAAAACAGUGAUAAAAAUGAAGAAAACCUGCAUUGCUCUCAACAAGAGCAUUUUGUUUUAAGUGCGCUCAAAACAACUGAAAUAAAUAGACUGCCAUCAGCAAAUCAAGGCUCACCAUUUAAAUCUGCGCUCUCCACU